CCCUUAGAUGCUCUGGGCCGCACGCGCGCUACACUGGUCGAUGCAACGAGUUUCUUUCCUUGGCCGACAGGCCUGGGCAAUCUUUGAACAUCGAUCGUGAUCGGGAUAGAUUCUUGUAAUUUUUGAUCUUAAACGAGGAAUUCCUAGUAAACGCAAGUCAUCAGCUUGCAUUGAUUACGUCCCUGCCCUUUGUACACACUGCCCGUCGCACCUACCGAUUGAAUGGUCCGGUGAAAUCUCCGGACUGGCGUGAGUCGGAGCAAUCUGACAAACACCGGAAAGUUGAUUAAACCUUACCAUUUAGAGGAAGGUGAAGUCGUAACA
This 324-nucleotide ribosomal RNA is filed under the name uncultured eukaryote. RNAcentral describes it as "partial 18S ribosomal RNA". It matches the Rfam family "Eukaryotic small subunit ribosomal RNA", at positions 1470 to 1796 of the family's 1831-position model. The record is from RNAcentral.